Molecule: unclassified non-coding RNA, 174 nt
Filed under: uncultured Ascomycota
Lineage: Eukaryota; Fungi; Ascomycota
Description: sequence contains ITS1
Source: RNAcentral
CUGAGUGAGGGCCCUCUGGGUCCAACCUCCCACCCGUGUUUAUCGUACCUUGUUGCUUCGGCGGGCCCGCCGUCAUGGCCGCCGGGGGGCACCCGCCCCCGGGCCCGCGCCCGCCGAAGACACCAUUGAACGCUGUCUGAAGAAUGCAGUCUGAGCAAUUAGCUAAAUUAGUUA